CCGGACGGACGGGUCUUCCUUGUGGACAUUCGUCUGAGGCUGGGGAGCGGCAUGGCCUUUGGACUCACACCGUCUCCGCUCGGCCGCUUGUUGGUUGUUGACUUUGGGCAAAUAACUUAACAUCUCUAAAGUCUGUUCCUACCCCUGGAGGGGGGCCGAAGCUGGCCGUGCCCGAGAAGCCGUUUCAUUUCGCAGACAUGGUCUGUACGCGGCAGGAUUUAAUCAAUGCCGUACUGCAGCCACCUCUUGACUCACUUCUUUGUGGCAGGAAAGUUGCCCAAUUAACGAUGAACUCAGUGACUAAGGAUGGGCUGGUGUACACACAGGCUGAAAUCUGCUCUGCCGCGGGAUCUUGGGCAUAGCAGUGAUCAGUGAAGAAGAAAGCCCAGGUGUGGGAAAACUGCUCCUCCAACCAAGAAUGUAACACACAGGCAAGUCACAUCUAAGUUAGUGGAAGGUCAGCCGCACCAGUCCUCACAUAAGAGAAUACUCAAGAGAAGAGGAAAUUCAGAUCCCAAGGGUUAAACUCCAAAGGUGGACACUUGCUUGCAUUUACUGACAAGCUGACCAUGAAUUCCAGGAUUCACAGGAGAAAGUUCCUUUUCAUCUUAGUAGCAGGAGUCGUUUGAAGGAAGGGCAUGAAUUGGGUGGACUGAUCAGAUUUUUCUCUUCUUGGAUGUUUAGAAAGUCUGGAACCAAUUUUGUGAUCCAUCCUUAGUAAGUUUAUUUCAUAGAAUGUAUUUUUCUACUUGCCUAAUUCAUCGCUCCAUUUUAUGUCACUGUCAUUAAUAUAUUUGAGUUACUUUGCUAUAUUUUGUGUGUGUAUAUGUAUUUGCCUUUUUGUAUGUAAUUUCUUUUUCUUUUUGAAAUAAGUUCAGAAAUAAAUAAGUACUUGGGAUAUAGGGCUAUGGUGAGAGUUCAAGGCCAAGUGUUGGGGAAUGGACACCCCAAACCCACAAUGUCCUAGUUUACGCUUGGUUCCCCUGUUCCCACCUGCUUGAUUU
Molecule: long non-coding RNA, 1004 nt
Organism: Myotis myotis
Lineage: Eukaryota; Metazoa; Chordata; Mammalia; Chiroptera; Vespertilionidae
Exons: 3
Source: RefSeq, a predicted model, not a curated record